RNAcentral lists this transfer RNA (71 nucleotides) under Marmota monax (woodchuck). RNAcentral describes it as "tRNA.Ser". The record is from RNAcentral. Lineage: Eukaryota; Metazoa; Chordata; Mammalia; Rodentia; Sciuridae.
GGGGUUGUGGCUCAGGGGUAAGGUGCUCACCUAGAGUGUGUGAGACACUGGGUUUGAUUCUCAGCACCACA